UGUAUCUGUUUCAGAUUCAGGUCUGUCUUCAGGUGCUGUAGCAGGAAUAGUUAUUGUUGUUCUGCUGGCUGCUGCUGCUGCUGUAGCUGCUGGUGUGUUUUACUAUCGCCGCAGCAGUACCACAGAAUGACAAUGAUCCAAAUGUCAUUCCUUUGAGGGAAAUGGAGGGCUCUUAAAUCAGACUCAGCUCGAGGCUGCCCAUAAAACAAUAGCCAGAAUAUCACAACUACAGCAACUAUCAACAGAGAUCCAGCAGAGAUCAGAGAUAUCAGAGAGACUGAGACUGGAGGAACUGAAGGAGAGUAAAAGAGAGACAUUGAUAAGUUAAUGAGUCUGAUCUACAACAUAUAAGAUCAGCUCAGUAAAUAAACACAUGUCAGCGCUGCUAUACCUGAACAUGGUUGACAGAGUUGACUGAUGUCCAGAUGUGUGGUCUGGUUGCUGAUGGGAUUGUUGAGCACACAGCUGUAGGUGUUGUUAUCCUGAUAUUCCACCUCCAGAGGUAGACAAAACAGUAUUUUGAAAACAUCUCACAGUUAGGGUAUAAAAGUGGCAACGUCUGCCAGAUGUGCAUGGACUUGUAAAAACUGUAGUUCAUGAUACGUAGUAUCAUUCUCAGUGUUUUGCAUUGUGCCUGUUCUUUCUCUUGUUUAU
This is a long non-coding RNA of Onychostoma macrolepis, 654 nucleotides long. RefSeq lists it as uncharacterized. The record is from RefSeq and is a predicted model, not a curated record. NCBI's taxonomy places the organism in Eukaryota, Metazoa, Chordata, Actinopteri, Cypriniformes, Cyprinidae. The transcript has 3 exons.